GAGCCCUGCAGGACGGAGAACCACACUG
This 28-nucleotide non-coding RNA is filed under the name Cricetulus griseus (Chinese hamster). The record is from RNAcentral. Lineage: Eukaryota; Metazoa; Chordata; Mammalia; Rodentia; Cricetidae.